AGCAAGAGCCCGGAGAUGGAUUCUGAGACACGAAUCCAGGCCCUACGGGGCGCAGCAGGCGCGAAAACUUUACAAUGCGAGAAAUCGUGAUAAGGGAACCCCGAGUGCCCGUAAAUUCGGGCUGUCCAUCAGUGUAAAUAACUGGUGAAGAAAGGGCCGGGCAAGACCGGUGCCAGCCGCCGCGGUAAUACCGGCGGCUCGAGUGGUGGCACUAUUACUGGGCUUAAGGCGUCCGUAGCUUGGUUGUUAAGUCUCCUGGGAAAUCCAUCGGCUCAACCGAUGGGCGUUCAGGGGAUACUGGCAACCUAGGGACCGGGAGAGGUGAGAGGUACUCCAGGGGUAGGAGUGAAAUCCUGUAAUCCUUGGGGGACCACCUGUGGCGAAGGCGUCUCACUAGAACGGCUCCGACAGUGAGGGACGAAAGCUGGGGGAGCAAACCGGAUUAGAUACCCGGGUAGUCCCAGCCGUAAACGAUGCGCGUUAGGUGUAUCGGUGACCACGAGUCACCGAGGUGCCGAAGGGAAACCGUGAAACGUGCCGCCUGGGAAGUACGGUCGCAAGGCUGAAACU
RNAcentral lists this ribosomal RNA (570 nucleotides) under uncultured archaeon. RNAcentral describes it as "bacterial SSU rRNA". It matches the Rfam family "Archaeal small subunit ribosomal RNA", at positions 281 to 856 of the family's 1478-position model. The record is from RNAcentral.